UACGUAGGGUGCAAGCGUUAUCCGGAAUUAUUGGGCGUAAAGAGCUCGUAGGCGGUUUGUCGCGUCUGCCGUGAAAGUCCGGGGCUCAACUCCGGAUCUGCGGUGGGUACGGGCAGACUAGAGUGAUGUAGGGGAGACUGGAAUUCCUGGGUGUAGCGGUGAAAUGCGCAGAUAUCAGGAGGAACACCGGUGGCGAAGGCGGGUCUCUGGGCCGAUACUGACGCUGAGGAGCGAAAGCGUGGGGGAGCGAACAGG
RNAcentral lists this ribosomal RNA (255 nucleotides) under uncultured bacterium. Its description in RNAcentral is "partial 16S ribosomal RNA". It matches the Rfam family "Bacterial small subunit ribosomal RNA", at positions 524 to 776 of the family's 1533-position model. The record is from RNAcentral.